Molecule: transfer RNA, 73 nt
Filed under: Myxococcales bacterium
Lineage: Bacteria; Pseudomonadati; Myxococcota; Myxococcia; Myxococcales
Description: tRNA-Lys
Rfam family: tRNA
About the family: Transfer RNA (tRNA) molecules are approximately 80 nucleotides in length. Their secondary structure includes four short double-helical elements and three loops (D, anti-codon, and T loops).
Source: RNAcentral
GGGCCAUUAGCUCAAUUGGUAGAGCAUCGGACUCUUAAUCCGCAGGUUGGUGGUUCGACUCCACCAUGGCCCA